This 119-nucleotide ribosomal RNA is filed under the name Aedes aegypti (yellow fever mosquito). The record is from RNAcentral. Lineage: Eukaryota; Metazoa; Arthropoda; Insecta; Diptera; Culicidae.
GUCAACGAUCAUACCAUGUUGAAAACACCAGUUCUCGUCCGAUCACUGAAGUUAAGCAACAUCGGGCGCGAUUAGUACUUAGAUGGGUGACCGCUUGGAAACGUCGCGUGUCGUUGGCC